This 343-nucleotide unclassified non-coding RNA is filed under the name soil metagenome. RNAcentral's name for it is "partial contains 5.8S ribosomal RNA, internal transcribed spacer 2, and large subunit ribosomal RNA". The stretch from base 1 to 120 matches the Rfam family "5.8S ribosomal RNA", at positions 35 to 154 of the family's 154-position model. The record is from RNAcentral.
GAUGAAGAACGCAGCAAAAUGCGAUAAGUAAUGUGAAUUGCAGAAUUCAGUGAAUCAUCGAAUCUUUGAACGCACAUUGCGCCCGCCAGCAUUCUGGCGGGCAUGCCUGUUCGAGCGUCAUUUCAACCCUCGACCUCCCUUUGGGGAAGUCGGCGUUGGGGACCGGCAGCACACCGCCGGCCCUGAAAUGGAGUGGCGGCCCGUCCGCGGCGACCUCUGCGUAGUAAACCAACUCGCACCGGAACCCCGACGUGGCCACGCCGUAAAACACCCAACUUCUGAACGUUGACCUCGAAUCAGGUAGGACUACCCGCUGAACUUAAGCAUAUCAAUAAGCGGAGGA